AUGAGGUUACGGAGGGAAAAAAAGAGGGAAAAAAACGAGAGAGAAGGUGCUAAAAACGCGCGUUCUUGCACCGCAGCAGAAAGGAGGAAUUUGGUGAACCGGCUGCAUUUCCAUCAGAGGGCAAAGCCUGGAAACGCGACGAUUUGGUCAAACACGUGGCUUAAAAGUUGUCUGGGGGCAGGACGAGGAUGCCAAACGCUGCUCUUCCCACCCGGGGAAGGUGGCGCCGGGAUAAUGGGAACACCCCGGGGCGGAUCGCGGGAGGGCGGCUUCGCCCCGCGCCGCUGCGAACCUCCGGCGACGCAGCAUGGCAGCGGCGAGAAGCCUCCGCGCCGAGGCCGACCGCUCGCAGCAUUUCCUCGCCGCCGCCUCCUGGCUCUGAAGAAACCCCGCGGGGCGAAAAUCCUCCGGGUUGAGGCUGUCGGUGGCAAUGGGCGAGCGGCUGCGGGCUCCGGCCGCGAAGCUUUUUGGGAAACACGAGGAGGAGGAGGCCGCCGGGGAGGAGAAAAUCCAAUCUCAUCUACAAUCUCUACGGAAAGUGUUGGCAGAGUUCCUGGAAUGGAGGGUGGCCGACGAGAAGCGCUGCCGGGACUACCUGGAGACGAGCGAGGCCGAGCGGCGGCGCGUUGGCGGCGAGUUCGAGCGGCUGCGCCGGCUGCUGGACGAGAAGGAGCGCGGGGUGCUGCGGCGCCUGGCCGAGCUCGACGCUGCCUUCGAGGCCGCCCAGGCGGAAAAAGCCUCGCGGCUGGCCGAGGAGAUCGCGCGGCUCCACGGCCUCAUCGGGCAGCUGGAGGCCGGGCGCCUGCCCCGGGAUACCGUGAGCAGCCUGAGCAGCUGGAACGAAGCAAGGCUGCAGCUUCCCCCCGAGCUGGAAAAGAGCCUGCGCUCCUGCCGCCGCCAGCACGCUGCCCUCGAGGAGGCUCUGAAAGAACUGCGAGACCCAGGGAGAUCCAAACCGAAGCCGGGAACGGGGAAAACCCUGAGCACGGAGGAAAAGGCAAAAGGGACUCCAGAUCCCGGCUCGGCCCCCCCGCAGGUUUUGGCAGACAGAAAAAGCGUGCGGUGGGACGAGGAGCAGGCUAAGGGCAGAGAGCCCCGGCGAUGCGAGGAGGAGGAGGAGGAGGAGGAGGCGCCGGGAGCCCUGGGCUGCGAGGGGGCCGCCCCGCGGCGGUGCUCGUGGGAGGUGGAGGAGAAGGCGCGGAUCGGCGGACCCUGAGAGGGAUCCCGCCUCUUGGGACGGCCCCCCCCGCCCCUUUCUCAGCCGUAAAUGGGGUUUUAAACCGGCAUUUUUCCGUGCAGGUGGUGGGUUUGUUUAAAAAA
Molecule: long non-coding RNA, 1320 nt
Filed under: Anser brachyrhynchus (Pink-footed goose)
Lineage: Eukaryota; Metazoa; Chordata; Aves; Anseriformes; Anatidae
Description: lncRNA (ENSABRG00000001800.1)
Source: RNAcentral